GAUGAACGCUGGCGGCGUGCCUAAUACAUGCAAGUCGAGCGAACGGACGAGAAGCUUGCUUCUCUGAUGUUAGCGGCGGACGGGUGAGUAACACGUGGAUAACCUACCUAUAAGACUGGGAUAACUUCGGGAAACCGGAGCUAAUACCGGAUAAUAUUUUGAACCGCAUGGUUCAAAAGUGAAAGACGGUCUUGCUGUCACUUAUAGAUGGAUCCGCGCUGCAUUAGCUAGUUGGUAAGGUAACGGCUUACCAAGGCAACGAUGCAUAGCCGACCUGAGAGGGUGAUCGGCCACACUGGAACUGAGACACGGUCCAGACUCCUACGGGAGGCAGCAGUAGGGAAUCUUCCGCAAUGGGCGAAAGCCUGACGGAGCAACGCCGCGUGAGUGAUGAAGGUCUUCGGAUCGUAAAACUCUGUUAUUAGGGAAGAACAUAUGUGUAAGUAACUGUGCACAUCUUGACGGUACCUAAUCAGAAAGCCACGGCUAACUACGUGCCAGCAGCCGCGGUAAUACGUAGGUGGCAAGCGUUAUCCGGAAUUAUUGGGCGUAAAGCGCGCGUAGGCGGUUUUUUAAGUCUGAUGUGAAAGCCCACGGCUCAACCGUGGAGGGUCAUUGGAAACUGGAAAACUUGAGUGCGGAAGAGGAAAGUGGAAUUCCAUGUGUAGCGGUGAAAUGCGCAGAGAUAUGGAGGAACACCAGUGGCGAAGGCGACUUUCUGGUCUGUAACUGACGCUGAUGUGCGAAAGCGUGGGGAUCAAACAGGAUUAGAUACCCUGGUAGUCCACGCCGUAAACGAUGAGUGCUAAGUGUUAGGGGGUUUCCGCCCCUUAGUGCUGCAGCUAACGCAUUAAGCACUCCGCCUGGGGAGUACGACCGCAAGGUUGAAACUCAAAGGAAUUGACGGGGACCCGCACAAGCGGUGGAGCAUGUGGUUUAAUUCGAAGCAACGCGAAGAACCUUACCAAAUCUUGACAUCCUUUGACAACUCUAGAGAUAGAGCUUUCCCCUUCGGGGGACAAAGUGACAGGUGGUGCAUGGUUGUCGUCAGCUCGUGUCGUGAGAUGUUGGGUUAAGUCCCGCAACGAGCGCAACCCUUAAGCUUAGUUGCCAUCAUUAAGUUGGGCACUCUAAGUUGACUGCCGGUGACAAACCGGAGGAAGGUGGGGAUGACGUCAAAUCAUCAUGCCCCUUAUGAUUUGGGCUACACACGUGCUACAAUGGACAAUACAAAGGGCAGCGAAACCGCGAGGUCAAGCAAAUCCCAUAAAGUUGUUCUCAGUUCGGAUUGUAGUCUGCAACUCGACUACAUGAAGCUGGAAUCGCUAGUAAUCGUAGAUCAGCAUGCUACGGUGAAUACGUUCCCGGGUCU
Molecule: ribosomal RNA, 1372 nt
Filed under: uncultured bacterium
Lineage: Bacteria
Description: bacterial SSU rRNA
Rfam family: Bacterial small subunit ribosomal RNA
Source: RNAcentral